GGCCUCGUAGCUCAGGCGUACAGCAUGCGCGCUCAAAGCGUAGGUCUAGUCCAUGCGUGGGUUCGAAUCCCACCCAAGCUA
Molecule: transfer RNA, 81 nt
Filed under: Echinostoma caproni
Lineage: Eukaryota; Metazoa; Platyhelminthes; Trematoda; Plagiorchiida; Echinostomatidae
Rfam family: tRNA
About the family: Transfer RNA (tRNA) molecules are approximately 80 nucleotides in length. Their secondary structure includes four short double-helical elements and three loops (D, anti-codon, and T loops).
Source: Rfam by way of RNAcentral